Molecule: ribosomal RNA, 120 nt
Filed under: Cervus elaphus hippelaphus
Lineage: Eukaryota; Metazoa; Chordata; Mammalia; Artiodactyla; Cervidae
Also listed under: 1 other name
Source: RNAcentral
GUCUACGGCCAUACCACCCUGAACGCGCCCGAUCUCGUCUGAUCUCGGAAGCUAAGCAGGGUCGGGCCUGGUUAGUACUUGGAUGGGAGAAUCCAUGCAGAAACCCCUGCUUCCUGGAUA